CCCCAGCAAAGCUCAGUGGGCAGGGGUUCCCAGGGGCUGCACCACCCUCACCCCCCACAAAUGCAGGUCCUCCAGGGUUUGGUAGUGGGGACCCUGGGACAUCCUCCUGGGAACACCCCUCUGGCUGCUCCAAACGCACACCUGAUCGUUCAAUCAAGAGCUAGUGGAAUCAAAAAAGUUUCUGAGCCCAGGGCUUCUCAUUCCUUUCUGUUUUAUGACGUGACGGCUCUUAGACACAUGGGAGUGAAAGGAGCGUGUCUGAGCCCCAUUGUCCAUCCUCCAGAUUCGACAGCCAUUACUGUUUUUCACACACACACCCUCAUCUUUUCUUUCCCUUCCUUUUUCCUUGUUCAUUUCCACCAUGUUAAAGCAUCCACCAUCAGCAGUUGCUUUGCCCCAAUGAGCCUGAGUGAGCACCUUGGACACGUGCCUGUCCUGUCGUGCUGCAGUGUCACCAGCGAGAUGGAGGGUGUCCCCGGGUCCUCAGAUGCCUUUGGCGGCUGGUUUAUUUGCACCAGGAUCACUACCAGCCAUGCCACAGAAAGAUGUUAUGCAUAUAUUCAGAGGUCUGUGCCUCCCUGAGUGAAGAGGUCAUGUGAGGUCCAGGACCUCUGUGCUCUCGGGGCCUGAGAGGAAGUGCCCCCGACUGACUAGCGGGUCCCUCUGCCUCUGCAGCUGCUUCCUUCACGGACUCAGCACCUACUAAGCACAGGCCCCUCGAGGCUCAGGUUCGAGCACCCCUCCCUCAUUAACCUCCAUCUGUAGGAUGAGGAUGAUGAUGUGUUCUUUGCCCUGUCACUCUCCCUCCCUUAAUGGCCACUCGUGGGCCGGUCCAAGCCCUGAAGCCCCAUCCACAUGUCAGAAGCCACAGCCCUCCUGGUCAUCUUCAGCUGAAACACAGGGUCCUCAUGGCAUGGGCAGGUUCCAGGGCACCUGCUUCUCGGAGACACUGGGCAUCCGGCCACACCUGACCUUUGUGAGCACACAGAGACUGUCUGUGCGCAACUCCAGGCCCACUGCUGUGGACUGAAGGGUCACCCCCAAAUUCAUAUACAGAGGCCCUCAUCCCCAGUGCAGUGGUGGGUAGAAAUGGGGCCUUCGGGUGGUGACUGGGUACAGUGAGGUCAUGAGGGUGGGGCCCGCAUGAUGGCAUUGGCGUCCUUGUAAGAAGGACUCCAGAGAGCUCUCUCCCCCACUCCGUGUGGGGACGCAGCGAGACAGCAGCUCAGGGAGGCUACUUCCCAGCUGGGCUCUGGGAAACACAGCGCUGCCCCUUCUCUUCCCCACCUCGGCCUCCACAGAGCUCGCUUUUCAGGCUGGCCUGGCUGCUGCAGGCAGGAGGCCGCCUCCGAGGAUGGGGAUGGAGGUCAGCUCAGUUGGAUGAGAUGAGCAAGAGGGAAUUGGAUGUUUUGCUGCCGUGUUAAGUCUUCAGCUUGACCCAGAGUUAAAUUAGCAUUGACUACGACUGGCUCCUGAAUCUACCUCCCCAGUAGCUCGGAGCCCACAUUGGAAAGCGGGGAUUGAGGCCCUGAGACCCCAGCAUCUUGGAGACAGAGACCUGGGCCAUGUCAGGCUAUAGAGCAUCGCGGCCGUGGGCCGGGAUGGGGACGUUCAGGCAGGUGAGUGGGCGGUCCAGGAGGAGGAACCAGGCAAGGAGGCUGGGAGGAGCUGGCGGAGGCCCCAGGCCCCGGGGCUGUGUGCUGUCCCCAAAGCCCUGGGCGAGAUGACUUCAGGGAGAAAUGAGACCUCAUGGUGCCUCCUGUCCCCAAGAGGUGGCGGCCUCAGGGGGGAUCUGGGAGUGGAAGCCAGGCUGGAAGACCUUGGGAGUUACAGGAGAGGAGCAGGUCCUGGGAGCCAAAGACCCGGAUCCAGACAUGGAGCUUCUCCGUAAAGUGGGAAUGACGAUUCCUGAUCUGUCUGCCUCGUGGGAUUGUGUGAAAAACGAACAUACUUUUUAUGGAUGCAUCCACUUCAUUGGACAAAUAUGUACCAAGGGCCACUGGGCACUGGGAACGGAGAAGACAAGUUCUCUGCCAUCAGAAGGUCACCAUCUAAAGAGGGGGACAGGCAGACAGCCAGACAGCAGCAAUGCCCGUAAAAAGGAGAUCAUUAAUAAUAGCCGUGGCGCCCUUUCGCACGCCAUCAACACGGGCUAAGUGCUUUGCCCUCAUUAAUCUCAGUUAAUCCUCGCAACAGUCCUGCCAAGAGGGACUAUUCCCACUGGAGGAGAAUUUAAGGAGGAAACUGAGCCUCUGAGAGGCGGAGUAACUUACCAGCGAGGAAGGGGUGUCGCCAGAACUUCAAAAGCAAGGCGCUGUGUUUGAGUCCUGAGUGGUGAUGAUAAAUACUCCGUUCCCCACGAGAGCAAGGGGUCAGAGGACUCUCAGCUUUGCUCCAGACUGAAGCACUUUGAAGAUGAGCCCCCACAGGCUGCUAAGCCAUGGUAGAGCCCAGAAUGGACGCUGAGCUGACAAAAUGUUCAUUCUGACCUUGGCCAAGAGCGCUGACCUGGCCGCCUGGUGAUGACGGCCACCAGAGGGCGCAAUGGAUCCACCUUCAACCAGACUUCCCAACAGGGUUUGGUUGGGACCCAGAAAGCUGAGAAAACGCACACAGCCAUGUGCAAGGUCAGACGCUGAAAAGACUUGGCAUUAGAUAUUAUCAAGUCCAACACCCUCCAGAGAAGGAGACUGAUACCUCUGCCACUCAGCCAAGGGCACUGGGUCAAGAGGAAAAGUCUAGGCCCAGUUGGAAAAGAUCUAAAGCCCAAGCAAGUGUGAAUUGGCUGAAAAGCUUUACGUGGCAUUAUAUUGUCAUACCGCAUAGCUGGCCCGGCCGGAGAUGGACCAGACCCCAAUACUGGGCAGAGCGCUCAGUUCUGCAGGUGCAGUAAAGAUAGACACCUCAGGGCAGACCCUGAAGAAGGACCCCAGCAACAGAGGGCGGUGGAACCCAGGCUGCUCAGCCUCGUCUCUGUCGAUGCCUUCUAUUACCAGAAGGGCUGUGCAUGGACGAGGAGCUUGGUGAGUUCCAGGCGGCUGUUACUAUUAUCUUCAGCUGGCUCCUUCUGUGCAAGCCUGUUCCUCCCCGUGCAGACUCUCCAGCGCCAGCAUGAGCUGCUGUCUCGUGGGGGGACGUGAGCUCUGUCCUGGGAGCUGUCUGAGCAAAGCCUGGAGGACCACCUUUGGGAGAUGCUGGAGGGCAAUUUGGGUGGCAGGGAAGACACACUGGGGAAGGCGGGUAGAUCCUGCAAUGAAUCCAAGCCACUCCGCUCUAGCAGGCUGCCCUGGUGGCCGCUCCCACACGCUGCUUCUGGUGCCUCCAUUUCCAAAUCUAUAAUCUGCAUAUUGGAGGUCCUGGACAAGAUCUGUACGUCUCAAGCUUUUCCAUCCAAAGACCCCUGAUACCCAACUUGCCCAAGCAAAGUCCCCCACAGCAGUCUCCUGAGGCUCAGAACAGCUCUUUCUUCCCUUCCCGUCUCAGGCACAUAGUACACACUCGAAUAAAACUCGUGUUGGCUGACUAGUAGGUCUCUGGGGAUUUAUUCUGCUUAAACAGAACGGAAGCUCAUGUUUAUGGACUCUCUCUCUCCUCGGUGUUUGUGUGGUGGAACUCGCCUGCCUCUCACACAAUUCUGGGGGCGGGUAUCUUACCGGCAUGCACGUUUUACAGAUCAAAAACACAACAGCAGCAAACAAACAUGAAGAUAGGGGAGAACAGAUCGGUG
Equus caballus (horse) is the source of this 3727-nucleotide long non-coding RNA. NCBI's taxonomy places the organism in Eukaryota, Metazoa, Chordata, Mammalia, Perissodactyla, Equidae. The record is from Ensembl.